RNAcentral lists this unclassified non-coding RNA (329 nucleotides) under soil metagenome. RNAcentral's name for it is "partial contains 5.8S ribosomal RNA, internal transcribed spacer 2, and large subunit ribosomal RNA". The stretch from base 1 to 120 matches the Rfam family "5.8S ribosomal RNA", at positions 35 to 154 of the family's 154-position model. The record is from RNAcentral.
GAUGAAGAACGUAGCGAAAUGCGAUAAGUAGUGUGAAUUGCAGAAUUCAGUGAAUCAUCGAAUCUUUGAACGCACAUUGCGCCCCUUGGUAUCCCGAGGGGCAUGCCUGUUCGAGCGUCAUUUCACCACUCAAGCCUGGCUUGGUGUUGGGCGACGUCCCCUUUGGGGACGCGCCUCGAAACGCUCGGCGGCGUGGCACCGGCUUUAAGCGUAGCGGAAUCUUUCGCUUUGGAAGUCGGGGCCCCGUCUGCCGGAAGACCUACUCGCAAGGUUGACCUCGGAUCAGGCAGGGAUACCCGCUGAACUUAAGCAUAUCAAUAAGCGGAGGA